Molecule: small nuclear RNA, 167 nt
Organism: Suncus etruscus (white-toothed pygmy shrew)
Lineage: Eukaryota; Metazoa; Chordata; Mammalia; Eulipotyphla; Soricidae
Product: U1 spliceosomal RNA
Exons: 1
Source: RefSeq, a predicted model, not a curated record
AUACUUACCUGGCAUAGGAGAUUCCAUGAUCAGGAAAUGGGUUCCCCAGGGUGAAGCUCGUCCAUUGCACUCCCGGCAUGCUGACCCCUGUGAUGUCCCCAAAUGUGGGAUACUCGACUGCACAAUUUGAUAAUGAUAGUGGGGGACUGUGUGCGUGCUCUCACCCU